UCGUUGAAUUAAGCUCCCAUGAAAGUUAUAAUAGUAUACUAUAAAUUUCAAUUUUUUGACGAGAAAACUGACAGAGGUAGAAUCUGCAUUUGAAAAAAUUGCUGCUUAAUGUAGAUUAUGUAGGCAAUAAUUUUUUGGCGUGACGUACCUACGGAUACUUGGUUACUGGUUGUUGGUCAAGAGGCUGACAAAUACGAAACCAUGGCUUUAAGGAGUGACAUGAAUUAUAUUAUGAAGGCUCGUGAAGGAGUGAUGAAAAGCAAAUUUUAUGUUAACCAGCUAAAAAAUCUUAUUCCAAUUGUGGAGCCCAAUCUUUAUGACUCGGAAUCCGCUGAUUGUGUACUCGAAUUUUUGGUCAUGACAGGUGGUGAUGACAAUGGUAACCACAAGCUUGGCUAAAAACUUGACUAUGGCAACCGAAGAGCGAGACUUUUAUCACUAGGCUGCAUGUGCCAUGAAGCCGUGGUAUGGUCCACAGCGGUUAUUACUUUCAUCGAUGGCAGAUACCAUCUUUGACAGAUUCAGCAAUGAUGAGUCAAGGAUAGUUAGCAAUGAUUGUUAGCAAUGGUUACCAUGCUUGGUACUGGUUAUCAAUUUUACAGGUAGUACAGAGUACAUGAAGGAAUUUGGUCCUGAGUAGAUGGAUUUUUUACUCCAUACCAGCGUUAUUGGCAGUGUUCUGGCUCUCUUAUGCCUAUUAGGUGAUCCCUCGAUCAUGAGAGCUGCUUUGUGUGUAGCUGGUGUUGUGGGAGGCAUGGAUGGAUUUUAUUUCAAGUGAAUUAAUAAAAGUUUCAGUUGUAU
Long non-coding RNA from Copidosoma floridanum, 801 nucleotides. NCBI's taxonomy places the organism in Eukaryota, Metazoa, Arthropoda, Insecta, Hymenoptera, Encyrtidae. The record is from RefSeq and is a predicted model, not a curated record.